RNAcentral lists this ribosomal RNA (111 nucleotides) under Numida meleagris (helmeted guineafowl). Lineage: Eukaryota; Metazoa; Chordata; Aves; Galliformes; Numididae. The record is from RNAcentral.
UCUCACAGUCAGAGAGGCUUUGAGCUUGUCAGAUAUCAUAAACUAAGCUACAUUUGUCCUGGUCAGUACUUGAAUGGGAGGCCUCCGAGGCAAGAAAGGAACCUGUGGGAU